This 467-nucleotide ribosomal RNA is filed under the name uncultured bacterium. RNAcentral's name for it is "bacterial SSU rRNA". It matches the Rfam family "Bacterial small subunit ribosomal RNA", at positions 337 to 796 of the family's 1533-position model. The record is from RNAcentral.
UCCUACGGGAGGCAGCAGUGGGGAAUAUUGCACAAUGGGGGGAACCCUGAUGCAGCCAUGCCGCGUGAAUGAAGAAGGCCUUCGGGUUGUAAAGUUCUUUCGGUGAUGAGGAAGGUGUUUUGUUUAAUAGACAAAGCAAUUGACGUUAGUCACAGAAGAAGCACCGGCUAACUCCGUGCCAGCAGCCGCGGUAAUACGGAGGGUGCGAGCGUUAAUCGGAAUAACUGGGCGUAAAGGGCACGCAGGCGGAUUGUUAAGUGAGAUGUGAAAGCCUCGGGCUUAACCUGGGAAUUGCAUUUCAGACUGGCAAUCUAGAGUAUUUUAGGGAGGGGUAGAAUUCCACGUGUAGCGGUGAAAUGCGUAGAGAUGUGGAGGAAUACCGAAGGCGAAGGCAGCCCCUUGGGAAUAUACUGACGCUCAUGUGCGAAAGCGUGGGGAGCAAACAGGAUUAGAUACCCUGGUAGUCC